GUAAAAUCAAACUAAGAGAAGUACUUGAGUCUUUUUUGGUUACAGAAAGUCGGCGGUGAUGAGAGUCCGAUACCAAGAAAUCAAGGAAAUGGCCUUAGCCGAUCAUUUUUUGAACCCUUUUUUGGCAGUAGGAAAAUGCGGGAACUCCCGUUAUAGAGGAAGACCGUUGUUAGACGGUUGAUAGAGAAGAAGUUGUUUUUUUAGGCAACUUUCAAUUGAGGUGGUACCGCGGUCAUUCGCCCUCAAG
Molecule: non-coding RNA, 247 nt
Filed under: Enterococcus casseliflavus
Lineage: Bacteria; Bacillati; Bacillota; Bacilli; Lactobacillales; Enterococcaceae
Description: T-box sequence
Rfam family: T-box leader
About the family: Uncharged tRNA acts as the effector for transcription antitermination of genes in the T-box leader family.
Source: RNAcentral